GGGUUCACUUCCGGCGGCCGGCUGCCCCCGCCUCAGCCCGCCGUGUGUCGGUCCCCGACCCCCCCUCGCGGAGCCGCCAGCGCGCGUGCGCCGCGGCCCCGCGUCUCCCCAGCGGCAGCGGAGGAGUUUGGAAGUUCAAAAUGGCCGCCGCGGUGGAGCCCGAGCUGCGAGCGCCAGAGGCUGAGGAUGCUGAUGCAUCUGAGAGAAGUGUCAAUGAAGAAAACGGAGAAGUAUCAGAGGCAGACCAACCUCAGAACAAGCACAGCCGACACAAAAAAAAGAAACACAAACACCGAAGUAAACAUAAGAAACAUAAACAUUCUUCAGAAGAAGAUAAGGACAAAAAACAUAAACACAGACACAAACAUAAGAAACAUAAACGGAAAGAGGUAGCUGAUACCUCUGACAAAGAAGAUGGACCAGCUAAAAGAACUAAAAUUGAUGUUUUAGCUCCUCUGGAAGACUUGGAGAAACAAAGAGCAUUAUUGAAAGCUGAACUUGAAAAUGAAUUAAUGGAAGGAAAAGUCCAGUCUGGGAUGGGAUUAAUAUUACAAGGUUAUGAAUCAGGAUCUGAAGAAGAGGGGGAGAUUAAUGAAAAAGUGCGAAAUGGAACAAGACCUACAGCUAAGUCAAACACUAAGGGGAAAUUGGAACCUGUGGACAACAAAACUAGUUCCAAGAAAGGAAGUAAGAGUGAAUCAAAAGAAAGGACUAGGCACAGAUCUGACAAAAAAAAAGGCAAGGUGGGAGUUGAUGGCAUCAAAGAGAAGACAACCAGAAGCAAGUCAAAAGAGAGGAGGAAAUCCAAAAGCCCUUAUAAGAGAAGUAAGUCUCAAGAUCAGACAAGGAAAUCUAGGUCCCCAAUGCUUAAAAGACGAUCUCAGGAGAAAAACAGGAAGUCUAAAUCCCCCCCAGAGGAUAGAAAUAAGGCUGAUGAUAAAAAUAAAUCAAGAGAUCGCAGAAAGUCUCCAGUUGUAAAUGAAAACAAAAGCAGAGAUCGUGGCAGAAAAUCUAAAUCUCCAACAGAACUAAGAAGCAAAUCCAAAGAUAGAAGAUCGCGGUCCAAAGAUAGAAAACCUAGGAGAUCAGAGACUGAGAAAGAAAAAAAGCCAAUUAAAUCUCCUUCUAAAGAUGCUUCUUCAGGGAAAGAAAACAGGUCCCCUAGACGACCUGGCCGGAGCCCGAAAGGAAGAAGCUUAUCUCCCAAACAACGUGAAAAGUCAAGAAGAAGCAGAUCCCCUCUCUUUAAUGAUCGUAGAUCUAAACAGAGUAAAUCCCCCUCUCGAACCCGGUCUCCAGUUAGAAGAGUGAGGAGUAGAUCUGCAGAAAGGAAAAGAAGAGACUCGGAAAGGAGGCGUCUUUCUUCUCCCAGAACACGGACCAGAGAUGAUAUUUUGUCUAGACGUGAAAGAUCAAAGGACAUUAGCCCACCCAGUAGAUGGUCACCAUCCAGGAGAAGGUCUCGGUCCCCCAUUAGAAGGAGGUCUCGUUCACCUCUUCGACGUAGCCGAUCUCCAAGAAGGCGGAGUAGGUCUCCUCGGAGGAGGGAUAGAAGCCGAAGAAGUAGAUCUCGCCUUCGAAGGAGGUCCAGGUCACGUGGUGGCCAUAGGCGUAGAAGCAGAAGCAAAGUUAAAGAAGACAAAUUUAAAGGUAGUCUUUCUGAGGGUAUGAAAGCUGAACAGGAGUCUUCAUCAGAUGAAAAUCUUGAAGACUUUGAUUUGGAAGAAGAGGAUGAAGAAGCAGAGAUAAGACAAAGAAGAUUACAGCGGCAAGCAAUUGUUCAGAAAUACAAAGGCCAGACAGAAGACAGCAAUAUAUCUGUACCGUCUGAACCAAGCAGUCCUCAAAGUAGUACGCGUAGUCGUUCUAAUUCACCAGAUGACAUCCUAGAAAGAGUAGCUGCUGAUGUCAAGGAAUAUGAACGGGAAAAUGUGGACACAUUUGAGGCAUCUGUAAAAGCCAAGCACAAUCUCAUGACGGUUGAACAGAACAAUGGUUCAGCUCAGAAGAAACUGCUAGCUCCUGAUAUGUUCACAGAAUCUGACGAUAUGUUCGCUGCAUAUUUUGAUAGUGCUCGUCUAAGGGCUGCUGGGUUUGGAAAAGACUUCAAAGAAAACCCCAAUCUCAGGGAUAACUGGACUGAUGCAGAAGGCUAUUACCGUGUUAACAUAGGUGAAGUUCUAGAUAAACGUUACAAUGUCUAUGGUUACACUGGUCAGGGAGUCUUCAGUAACGUAGUGCGAGCCAGGGACAUGGCGAGAGCAAACCAAGAAGUAGCGGUUAAAAUCAUCAGGAACAAUGAACUUAUGCAAAAAACUGGCCUAAAAGAACUGGAAUUUUUGAAGAAGCUCAAUGAUGCAGAUCCUGAUGACAAGUUUCAUUGUUUACGGUUGUUCAGGCAUUUCUACCACAAACAGCAUCUCUGUCUGGUAUUUGAGCCACUCAGUAUGAAUUUACGAGAGGUGUUGAAAAAGUAUGGGAAGGAUGUUGGACUCCAUAUUAAGGCUGUGCGUUCCUACAGCCAGCAGCUAUUCCUGGCUUUAAAGCUUCUUAAAAGAUGUAAUAUCCUACAUGCAGAUAUAAAACCAGAUAAUAUUUUGGUCAAUGAGUCUAAAACUAUAUUGAAGCUUUGUGAUUUUGGAUCUGCUUCACAUGUUGCAGAUAAUGACAUCACACCAUAUCUAGUUAGUAGAUUUUAUCGAGCUCCAGAAAUCAUUAUAGGAAAAAUCUAUGACUACGGUAUAGACAUGUGGUCUGUAGGCUGCACAUUAUAUGAACUUUAUACAGGGAAAAUACUCUUUCCUGGCAAAACCAAUAACCAUAUGUUGAAACUAGCCAUGGACCUCAAAGGAAAGAUGCCAAACAAGAUGAUUCGAAAAGGUGUGUUCAAAGAUCAGCACUUUGAUCAAAAUCUCAACUUUAUGUAUAUAGAAGUAGAUAAAGUGACAGAAAGGGAGAAAGUUACUGUUAUGAGCACCAUUAAUCCAACCAAGGACCUGUUGGCAGACUUGAUUGGGUGCCAACGACUCCCUGAAGACCAGCGUAAAAAAGUGCACCAGCUGAAGGACUUGUUGGACCAGAUUCUAAUGUUAGACCCAGCUAAACGGAUUAGCAUCAACCAGGCUCUGCAGCACGCCUUCAUCCAGGAAAAAAUUUAAACCAGAUGAAGAAGUUCAAAGGGUUUGAGUAAUUAAGAUACAAAGACUGAAGAAAUUUCACAGCAGUUAUUAAUGUGUGUGUGUGCAGGCCACAGCAGCAUGCCCUUGGUGUAGUCAGUGCCGAAGGGGGUCUGUUCCUUCUUGAGCCUGCCCGCAGGGAUGGUCUCCUCUUUUAAAGCAGGUUGUGUACAACUUUCAGUACACUGAAGGCAUAAACCUUCCACUCUUGAACAAAGCAGCUGCUUUUUAAAAGCGAGAAAAAGGAAAGCGAGUCACAGGCCACUCACCGCCUACUCCAUGGGUCUGAUUUGCUGAGACACCAACUUCACCUUCCUAACAAGGUGCAGCUCAAAAGAAGAUGAUGACUACCAGAAGACAUGAACAAAGGUUUCUGUCCUGUAAAAGAUACGAAAAAUAUUCUUUGUGUAGUUCUGUCUUAAUCUUUUGGUUUCCAGCAUUCUAAUGUAGAAUUGAUUAAAACUGCUGCAGUACUGAUAAUUCCUGAAACAUACGUACUGUAUUAGAAUUUGCUACUUGGAUGUGUUUGUUUCAUUUCUGGUGAAGAGUUUUUUUGUUGUUUUGGUUUGGUUUUUUUACUGUGAUUAAAUGUAGGUUAAUAAGUAUUACUGUUUAAAUGCCAUUUUCUUAAAAUGGUAGAAUGAUCUGUACAAAACCUGGGAAAUUUGGGAAAAAAAUCUGCCAUUGUACUUGGUUAAAAUACAGAUGUUUAAACUAGUAAAUAUUUAGGCAGAUGAUGUACUUUUUUUCUUUAACUUCAGCAGGUUCGUUAUUUGUUUUAAUUCUGUCAGACUUUAUUAUUGCUACAGAAAUAAGCUGACAGGGGUUAUUCAAAACAAGUGUAUUUCAGUCCUCAUUCCAGCAUCUGCUUCAGCUGACGCUCCUUGUUGGCAACAAUAAAAAAACCCACAUUAGUUCUGGCUUCCAAAGCUUCUGGAACUGAAAACACUGUCAAGGACCUUCUCUGGUUGUAGACAAUACCUGUCUCAGUAGCCCCUGGUCUCUAAGGGGGGCAGAGCAGCUGCUGGUGCUGCUGCCAUCAGCUGAGCUUCCCUGCUUGCAGCUUGGUGCAAACAGAGUGGCUCUGCAGCAGAGUUCUUAUGUUAAACUGUUUCCCAGCUGAGCAAAGAGGGAGGAUCGUUUGUCUUUUCCUCCUGGACAUGAAGAUGUAAUUUGUAUCUUCACCUGAGGUCCUACAUAAAGGAAGUUUGGCUGAAACUACUGUGCUAGUUCCGGUUUCCUUCUCCCUGAUGGUGUCAAUGAGCUUCACAUUUAACAUAGUUUGCUAAGCAUUCAGAAAAAACAAGAUACCAGCCCUGUGCAGUUAGCAUGUGUUUUUAUUACCUUGAUGUAUUCUACUAUAAUAUAAAAAUUAGAAACUGUUUUAAGAGUUUGUGUGAUAGAAAGUAAUGAUUCCUUUAAAACUUUUUUAAUAAUACUUUAUCUCCGUACAUAGGGUAAGUGGCAUUAAACCUCUGAAGAACCUUUAUCUGUAUAUUGAGCUGUACACAGAAGGCUGACCAGCCUGUGGCACUACUGGAGAUAGAGCGAUCUUCUACAGUAUGUGUAAAAUUGUAACUCGGGUGGAGAAUGCUUGGAAGCAGCAAUUGCUUGACAUUAAUAAAGUACGCUUAAAACUUA
Columba livia (rock pigeon) is the source of this 4817-nucleotide RNA transcript. It is a transcript of the gene named pre-mRNA processing factor kinase PRP4K, with no coding region annotated. Lineage: Eukaryota; Metazoa; Chordata; Aves; Columbiformes; Columbidae. The transcript has 19 exons. The record is from RefSeq and is a predicted model, not a curated record.